GUAUGCUUAUAAUACGUACUGCCUGCUCAAUGAAUUUUAAAUAGCCGCAGUAUAAUGUGCCAAGGUAGCAUAAUAAAUUGCCUUAUAAUUAAAGGCUAGAAUGAACGGCUUAACAUACGAAUUUCUUUAUUAAUCCAACUAUUUUAACUUUUUCUAAAGGUAAAAAAACCUUUAUUUCUAGAGGGACGACAAGACCCUGUCGAGCUUAACUAUUGUUGAACUGGGGCGGUAAAAAACAAAUUCUUUAUUAUCACUUCCUAAUCUAUCCUUAUCUUAAGAUACGAACAAGCUACCGCAGGGAUAACAGCAUAAUUCUUUUCUAAAGACCUUAUUUAAAAAAGAGAUUGUGACCUCGAUGUUGAAUUAUUUAUUCUUUUAGGAGCAAAAUCUUAAAAAGAAAGUCUGUUCGACUUUUAAAAAUUUACAUGAUUUGAGUUCAGACCGGCGUAAGCCAGGUCGGUUUCUAUCUUCUUUUACUAAUCUUUAGUACGAAAGGAUCAAGAUCAGUGCUUUAAGCAUUUCCUUAUUUGGCAGAC
RNAcentral lists this ribosomal RNA (536 nucleotides) under Cyrtocarenum cunicularium. RNAcentral describes it as "partial 16S ribosomal RNA". It matches the Rfam family "Bacterial large subunit ribosomal RNA", at positions 1837 to 2730 of the family's 2925-position model. The record is from RNAcentral. Lineage: Eukaryota; Metazoa; Arthropoda; Arachnida; Araneae; Ctenizidae.